UACGGGGGGGGCAAGCGUUGUUCGGAAUUACUGGGCGUAAAGGGCUCGUAGGUGGCCAACUAAGUCAGACGUGAAAUCCCCAGGCUUAACCUGGGAACUGCGUCUGAUACUGGAUGGCUUGAAUUCGGGAGAGGGAUGCAGAAUUCCAGGUGUAGCGGUGAAAUGCGUAGAUAUCUGGAGGAAUACCGGUGGCGAAGGCGGCAUCCUGGACCGAUAUUGACACUGAUGAGCGAAAGCCAGGGGAGCAAACGGG
This 253-nucleotide ribosomal RNA is filed under the name uncultured bacterium. Its description in RNAcentral is "partial 16S ribosomal RNA". It matches the Rfam family "Bacterial small subunit ribosomal RNA", at positions 524 to 776 of the family's 1533-position model. The record is from RNAcentral.